This 509-nucleotide ribosomal RNA is filed under the name Photophorus jansonii. RNAcentral's name for it is "partial 16S ribosomal RNA". It matches the Rfam family "Bacterial large subunit ribosomal RNA", at positions 1828 to 2597 of the family's 2925-position model. Lineage: Eukaryota; Metazoa; Arthropoda; Insecta; Coleoptera; Elateridae. The record is from RNAcentral.
GUCCUUUUGAGUUUAAUUUAAGGUCUAAUCUGCUCAAUGAGGAUUUAAAUUGCCGCGGUAUUUUGACCGUGCGAAGGUAGCAUAAUAAUUAGUUUCUUUAUUGGAAGCUGGAAUGAAUGAUUGGACGAGAAAAUUGCUGUCUCUGAUUAAUUUUUUUUUGAAUUUAACUUUUAAGUAAAAAGGCUUAAAUUUUUCUAAAAGACGAGAAGACCCUAUAGAGUUUAACAUUUUGAUUGAAUUAAAAGGUUUUUGGGAUUAGUUUUUUUUAUUUUUCGUUUUGUUUAGUUGGGGUGACUAGAAGAUUGAUUAAACUCUUCUAAUAAGUUAUUACUGAUUAGUAAAUUUUUAUUCUGGUUUUUCCAAGUUUAAUAUAAAUUACCUUAGGGAUAACAGCGUAAUUUCUCUUUAGAGUUCAAAUUGGAAGAGAAGUUUGCGACCUCGAUGUUGGAUUAAAAUUAAUGUUUGGCGCAGUAGCUUAAUUAUUAGGUCUGUUCGACCUUUGAAAUUUU